This 534-nucleotide ribosomal RNA is filed under the name Burkholderia multivorans. Its description in RNAcentral is "bacterial LSU rRNA". It matches the Rfam family "Bacterial large subunit ribosomal RNA", at positions 164 to 651 of the family's 2925-position model. Lineage: Bacteria; Pseudomonadati; Pseudomonadota; Betaproteobacteria; Burkholderiales; Burkholderiaceae. The record is from RNAcentral.
AUAUAGGGUGUGUGGAGGGAACGCGGGGAAGUGAAACAUCUCAGUACCCGUAGGAAGAGAAAAUAAGAAUGAUUCCGGGAGUAGUGGCGAGCGAAACUGGAUGAGCCUAAACCGUGUGCGUGUCAAGCGUGCUGGUGUUGCGUACAUGGUGUUGUGGGGUGUGUGUGUUCGGUUCAGCAUGACCGAGACGCUGAUGAGUGCUUACGUGUAGUCGAAGCUGGUGGGAAACAGUACCGGAGUGGGUGAGAGUCCCGUAGACGAAACGCGUGGCCCCGGUGUGACACGUGUCCCCGAGUAGCACGGAACUCGUGGAAUUCCGUGUGAAUCUGCCAGGACCACCUGGUAAGGCUAAAUACUUCCUGAUGACCGAUAGCGGAUCAGUACCGUGAGGGAAUGGUGAAAAGUACCCCGGGAGGGGAGUGAAAGAGUACCUGAAACCAUGUGCUUACAAUCCGUCAGAGCACCCGUGUUGGUGUGAUGGCGUGCCUUUUGAAGAAUGAGCCUGCGAGUUAGCGGUGCGUGGCGAGGUUAACC